Molecule: long non-coding RNA, 770 nt
Filed under: Cottoperca gobio
Lineage: Eukaryota; Metazoa; Chordata; Actinopteri; Perciformes; Bovichtidae
Description: lncRNA (ENSCGOG00000019302.1)
Source: RNAcentral
CAUCUUGAGCUCCAAGUCAAAGGGAGAGGCUCAAGUGAUGGAGCUGAAGAGACGAGCGCAGAGUCUAUGUGAGCAAGAAGACCUGCCGGGAGACAAGAAGCUGGAGGUUCAGAAGACGGUCGCAGACACGGAGCAGCAGUGGAAGACGGUGCUGCAGGCUGCUGAGGAGACACAGAGGUACUGAACACUGUUUUGAGCUUUAUCAGGGGAAACCUUCCAAAUGUUUUAUUUACAUAAAUGUCAAUGAAUUUGGUUCUCUAUAAUCUGCUGUUACCCAUCAGGCAGUUGAAGGGUGUUGUGGAGCGCCUGGUGUCCUGUCAGUACCAGCGAGGCCAGGCUGAGGCCCGUCUGUCUGAGUUCCAGAAGCAGACGUCCGGCCUGCCGCGUGUCUUCCCCUGGCCGGGCCUGGGAGAGCGGAGGCAGACGGUGGAACAGGCCCGCACCCUGCUGGACAAGAGUGCAGCUUUGGCCCCUGUCCUCUCAAACCUCCGUACACAGGCUUCAGAGCUGUUUGAGAUCACACAGGACCGUGACUGGACAGAUCCCUCCUGGGCAGCCAAGGAAGAGUCCAUCCCUGCUCUGCUGAAAGAGCUAACUGAUGCAGUGGGUAACCUGGAGCAGGGCAUCCUGACAGAGAGGCAGUGCACCCAGCUGGUGGAGCAGCAUGUAGCAGCCCAGGAUUGGCUGAGGGAGCAUGUUAAAGGUCUGCGAGCUCCUCCAGUGGACAGACAGGGUCUACACAGCACUGUCAUCACUCUGAAGGUCAGAUA